GGGUAUGCUAAACAGGGUGCCUGAGUGAGCUUCCUCCUCAGUUCACUUACCGCUUGGUCCUGAGGCUCCCCCCAGUUCCAGGUAGUUUCCUUUUUAAGCAGGUGUAAGAGUGGUUUUGUUAUUUCUGCAUAGUUAUCGAUAAACUUACGGGAGUAGUUAGUCAUACCAAGGAACGAUCUUAAUUCCCUGAUAUUUGAAGGUGUUUUAGCCUUUAGUACGGCUUCAACCUUCUUCCUCUGGGGAUUUAAUCCUUCAGAAG
RNAcentral lists this long non-coding RNA (259 nucleotides) under Pelobates cultripes (western spadefoot toad). Lineage: Eukaryota; Metazoa; Chordata; Amphibia; Anura; Pelobatidae. The record is from RNAcentral.